This is a non-coding RNA of Daphnia magna, 46 nucleotides long. The record is from Rfam. NCBI's taxonomy places the organism in Eukaryota, Metazoa, Arthropoda, Branchiopoda, Diplostraca, Daphniidae.
CAACCGGUCCUUUUCAGGGCCACUAGUACGAACAGAAACGAUUAAU